GGAAGUAAAAGUCGUAACAAAGUUUCCGUAGGUGAACCUGCGGAAGGAUCAUUAAUAAUAUAACUUAUUAGGACCUUAAAUAAUACCCUCGAUGCCUAGUAUAAAAUAAAAAGAAAAAAUAAAAAAACGAGAGGAUAAACCCCAAACAUCAGCUAUAUCUCAACUCUUUGUCUGAAAAAUAUUAUGAAUAAAACAAUUCAAAAUACAACUUUCAACAACGGAUCUCUUGGCUCUC
RNAcentral lists this unclassified non-coding RNA (235 nucleotides) under plant metagenome. RNAcentral describes it as "partial contains small subunit ribosomal RNA, internal transcribed spacer 1, and 5.8S ribosomal RNA". The stretch from base 1 to 54 matches the Rfam family "Eukaryotic small subunit ribosomal RNA", at positions 1778 to 1831 of the family's 1831-position model. The record is from RNAcentral.